RNAcentral lists this ribosomal RNA (539 nucleotides) under uncultured bacterium. RNAcentral's name for it is "partial 16S ribosomal RNA". It matches the Rfam family "Bacterial small subunit ribosomal RNA", at positions 355 to 883 of the family's 1533-position model. The record is from RNAcentral.
UGGGGAAUAUUGCACAAUGGGCGCAAGCCUGAUGCAGCCAUGCCGCGUGUGUGAAGAAGGCCUUCGGGUUGUAAAGCACUUUCAGCGAGGAGGAAGGUGGUGAGCUUAAUACGCUCAUCAAUUGACGUUACUCGCAGAAGAAGCACCGGCUAACUCCGUGCCAGCAGCCGCGGUAAUACGGAGGGUGCAAGCGUUAAUCGGAAUUACUGGGCGUAAAGCGCACGCAGGCGGUUUGUUAAGUCAGAUGUGAAAUCCCCGGGCUCAACCUGGGAACUGCAUUUGAAACUGGCAAGCUAGAGUCUCGUAGAGGGGGGUAGAAUUCCAGGUGUAGCGGUGAAAUGCGUAGAGAUCUGGAGGAAUACCGGUGGCGAAGGCGGCCCCCCUGGACGAAGACUGACGCUCAGGUGCGAAAGCGUGGGGCAGCAAACAGGAUUAGAUACCCUGGUAGUCCAGCGCUGUAAACGAUGUCGAUUUGGAGGUUGUGCCCUUGAGGCGUGGCUUCCGGAGCUAACGCGUUAAAUCGACCGCCUGGGGGUAGU